Lotus japonicus is the source of this 392-nucleotide long non-coding RNA. RefSeq lists it as uncharacterized. The transcript has 5 exons. The record is from RefSeq and is a predicted model, not a curated record. NCBI's taxonomy places the organism in Eukaryota, Viridiplantae, Streptophyta, Magnoliopsida, Fabales, Fabaceae.
CCGCAAGCCCUUAAUUUUUAUUAGUUCAGUUCCUCUCUCAAAGCUUGCUCGUACCUCCACCGUCCCUUCCGCGGCCGCCGCCGUUCCUGCUGCGUCGAUGCCGCUCUUGUUUUGUGUCUCUUCGUCCAUGUAGUUCGUUGCCCUGUCCUCAUAAGCCACCAGCACCAUUUCGCCGCUCAUGGGUCUCUCAAAGGAACAACUUCUAGCACGGUUACAGAAGCUUCAAAUUGAAUUUUCCCAGUAUGAGCAUCCAGUUGUUUUGACUGUUGAAGCCCAGGCAAAAUAUGUUGGAAAUUUAGAGGGUGGCUUGAGUAAAAAUUUAUUUUUGAAGGACUGGCUUUUGUUUUAUUUUCCUUGCUUGGGGUGUCUACUAGGGUAAAUCAAUGGUGGGA